CAGCCGCCACGGUAAUACGUAGGGUGCGAGCGUUAAUCGGAAUUACUGGGCGUAAAGCGUGCGCAGGCGGUUGUGUAAGACAGGUGUGAAAUCCCCGGGCUUAACCUGGGAACUGCGCUUGUGACUGCACGGCUAGAGUAUGGCAGAGGGGGGUGGAAUUACACGUGUAGCAGUGAAAUGCGUAGAGAUGUGGAGGAACACCGAUGGCGAAGGCAGCCCCCUGGGCCAAUACUGACGCUCAUGCACGAAAGCGUGGGGAGCAAACAGGAUUAGAUACCCCUGUAGUCCCUGUCUCUUAUAA
This 301-nucleotide ribosomal RNA is filed under the name uncultured bacterium. RNAcentral describes it as "partial 16S ribosomal RNA". It matches the Rfam family "Bacterial small subunit ribosomal RNA", at positions 509 to 809 of the family's 1533-position model. The record is from RNAcentral.